RNAcentral lists this ribosomal RNA (253 nucleotides) under uncultured bacterium. RNAcentral describes it as "partial 16S ribosomal RNA". It matches the Rfam family "Bacterial small subunit ribosomal RNA", at positions 524 to 776 of the family's 1533-position model. The record is from RNAcentral.
GACGAACCGUGCGAACGUUAUCCGGAUUUACUGGGCGUAAAGCGCGUUCAGGCGGUUUGGCAAGUCGGGCAUGAAAUCUCUCGGCUCAACCGGGAGAGGUUGUCCGAUACUGUUAGACUGGAGGGCAGUAGAGGGUGGUGGAAUUCCGGGUGUAGUGGUGAAAUGCGUAGAGAUCCGGAGGAACACCAGUGGCGAAAGCGGCCACCUGGACUGCACCUGACGCUGAAACGCGAAAGCUAGGGGAGCGAACGGG